RNAcentral lists this long non-coding RNA (211 nucleotides) under Elaeis guineensis (African oil palm). RNAcentral's name for it is "long non-coding RNA (EGUI_LNC032695)". Lineage: Eukaryota; Viridiplantae; Streptophyta; Magnoliopsida; Arecales; Arecaceae. The record is from RNAcentral.
CAUUCAAUAAAGUAUGCAUAAGGUUACGACAUACAUUUGUCUCUAUAUGCAUUAGAUCAAGAUUAUGCUUGAUGUGAUGGUACUCCCAAUAAGGAAGUUCAAAAAAAAUACUUCGGUUUCUCCAUGUUCCCUUUUGAACCCUAUCUGCUGGUUCACUCAUCUUUUCGAAGUUGAACUUUAUUCCUUUUAAUUGGUCCAACAAAUCAGAUCC